Molecule: long non-coding RNA, 506 nt
Filed under: Lynx pardinus (Iberian lynx)
Lineage: Eukaryota; Metazoa; Chordata; Mammalia; Carnivora; Felidae
Source: RNAcentral
CACCGCUCUGCUCCCCCAGGAACACCAGCUUGAAUUUCCUCAGCGGAUUCCCGAAGUCUCCGCCCGCGGACAUGAUGAAGCCGAAGGAGCUGCCGCCGCCUCAGCUCAGAGACCUCUCGGACCGACGCUGCACCAAUCGGCUAACGAAAAAGGUGAGAGGAAGGACCGGCGCCGAGCUCUCUUGGACCCUGCAGGGCCCGGCGGCGGAGCAAGACUGGAGGGCAGGACUCCUCCCCACAGACAGGCAGCCGUCGCCGCCGCCUCCCCGCAGAGUCGCCUUAGCACCGAGAGGCCCGCGGCUGGGAAAGGAAGGAUGGCGGUGUCGGAAGCAGCCAAGGGUGGGCUCUAAGUUACCAAGGCUAGCGCCGUUCCCUUCUCAGCACCCGGCACCGAGACUGGGGUGAGAGAAGAGGAAGGUGGCGGAACCGGAGCCGCAGACGCGUCUGGGACCUCUCACGCGCUGCGCCUCAGCUCCCACAGCUGUCGCCACCGCAGCCCAACCUGCU